RNAcentral lists this microRNA precursor (76 nucleotides) under Myotis davidii. RNAcentral describes it as "mir-9229 microRNA precursor family". It matches the Rfam family "mir-9229 microRNA precursor family". The record is from Rfam by way of RNAcentral. Lineage: Eukaryota; Metazoa; Chordata; Mammalia; Chiroptera; Vespertilionidae.
GAGGCACCCCUCCGGGGCAAGACUUGCUUCAGUGGGGCUUUGGUGCUCACUGAGUCCGCCCCCUAAGUGUGUCCUU